Non-coding RNA from Osmia lignaria (orchard mason bee), 6026 nucleotides. NCBI's taxonomy places the organism in Eukaryota, Metazoa, Arthropoda, Insecta, Hymenoptera, Megachilidae. The record is from RefSeq and is a predicted model, not a curated record.
AUCUAUUCUCUAUUUAAUAUUAAUUCAAUUUCAUGAGAAUUUGAAUGUUUUCAUACAUCAUAAUAAUCAUUAAACCACUUUAAGCGAACUAUAGGCAAAGAGUAAUCAAAUCACUAGGAAAUUAAAUGCAAUUAAAUAUAAUUAAAUACAAUGAUCUGUUUUAAAUAAAUUCAUCAACAGCAUAUAAAAUAAAAGGAUAUUUACAGCGAGGGUUAAUUUUCUCAUCUACUUUCAUGUCGGACAAGAUAUAAAACUUAAAGUAGGUUGCUUUUGCAAUUCCAUCAGUUCAGCUUCAGGGACUGUUUGUCCUCGGUCACAAAAUUUAUUCGCGUGAAAGACAAUGCCCUCGAAUCAUGAUGCAUUUCUCGCAUGAGAAUAAACGAUCUCUUCGGUUGCACUGCAACGAAUCAGCGUUAAAUCGAGGGAAGCGUUUGAUCUAGAAAGACUGGUAAUAUGCGUGGAUCGUUCGAGUCUCCCAAGAAGGUAGACGAAGUUGCACGCAUGGGAAUGAAGGCUACUUUUCCACUGUCUCGAGGUUACCGUACCAUUUUACGGUUCACAUGAACCCGUCGAUCGGUUUUUUGUUUGAAACUGGUUUCCUCGUCAUUUGCUAUACUUAAACGUAAUAAAGGAUCAAACGGUACGAACUCAUUACCAAAGAAUCUUGUUCCAAUUUUUUUUCCGAGAACCAAUUUUGGAGUUAAAAAUAUUACUCAGUGGUGAUUGAAGAAAAACGAGUCUGAAAAUUUAUAUACUGAAUUUACAAUUUUGUGAAUUUCUUAAAUUCAAUAAAAAUUCAUUUACAGUAUUAUUGCAAAAAUCUCACUUCAGGUAUCUUAUUGUUGAUAAACAUUUUGUCCUUGUAUUGUGAUUACUAUUGUUUCAUUAUUUAACAAAAUGCAUAUAAAUGAACGGUUUUCACUAAUUUUAUCAAUAUAGCAGAAGAUAUCAAUCGUAAUCAUGCAUUUAUAAUCAUAAUAUCGGUGGCGCUCUUGAGAGACUCUCCUUCUAAUAAUCAUUACUCAUAUAUGUAUAAUGUGUAAACGCACAGAAUCUUAUUAAUUCUCUGGAUUAGCAAUUUUAAUGAAAAUUCAUUUUCCCUUUGUGUUUCCCAGUGUUAUGAAUGAGUUCCGCCGCUUUUCCGUCUGAUAAUAAUUAGACGUAUAGCUUUCAAGAUAUGUAUGAUAAGUGAUUUCGGGAAAACCAACAGGAAAAAUAAUAGUAUUUUUCUUCUUUAAAUUCUAAUUUGUUUCAGCUAUUUACAUGGAAACGUUAUUGCAUAGUUGAUUUGAUAGCUCCUCGAAUUUCAUUUCAAUUUACGUAGGUUAUAUUUGCACGGAUAACAAUCCACGUGGGUGUUGUCUAUGUCAUGUAAUGUUUUAAUUACUGGUAAGUUGAUUCAUACCCGUAAACGGCAUCGGAGUAAUUGAAGUCAAGUAGAAGAAUGAAAACGAUUGUAUCUCUUUGAUUCUUUCUUUUUCUUACAUAAGAAAUCUAUGAUUAAUGCUUUGAACUUCGAAAUCUCUGUUAAAUUAAAUAAAGGAUCUAAGGUAAAUGAAAGAGACUCUCUCAAGAACGCUAUUACUGAUAUUACACUCAAGAACGCUAUUGAAUGAUAUUACUGACAACAGGUUUACUCUUUUAUUAAUUCAAAUAUGAAUUGCUCAGUCUUAUUAAGUUAGUAGAAUAUUACCAUCGUUGUAUUUUAUUACUUAAUGUAAUACGGUUUGUUCUUUGUUUUUUUUUUUUUUAAUUUUAUAUCUCUUUGAAGCACGGAACUUUAGUAAAUGAAAAAGCCCAUAUUCUACAGAAAUUUUAUUUUCAUAAAAUUUAACAAAGUAAGUAAAGUAAUUUUAAUUUUACAGGGUAGUAUAAAAAAUAUCCUACUAUAAAUAUUAUGGUAUUAAGAAAGGUGGAAUACUUUUAGUCCUAACGUGUUUCAAAGAGUUAUAUAAAAUGAUUGCAAGGAAGUAAAGUGACCCCUAUAUCUUUUGGUCCACUGUAUUUACAGUCAAAUUGUUUGCAACUGUAAUGGAUAGGCAUAUGCCAUUUUCAGUUAUAUCUUGCCUGUACGUUUGACAUCGUAAAACAAGUGUUACGAGAAUUGUGUAACAACGGUAAAUGAAACUAUAUUAGAACCGCAAUUGCGUGUUUAAUGAAAUGAAUAUCUUGAGGGAUCACAGAAGUGCCUUGUUUGUAACCAUUUGUCCCUGCCAUUACUUCCUUGUUAUUAAGACAAGCAGAGUGCUCGAGAAAGGUUUGAUUCAUUUUAAACGUUAUAAAUCAAUUUAUAGGCAACUAACUAUGUUCUUAACAAAGAGUAUUAUUAAAAAUUGACUAAUUGUCUAAUUUUUAGUCAAUUUUAAUCUAUUUUGCUGUUUUUAAGAACGUUUGAUGUUGAAAGUAUUGUUAUUUUAGUUUCUAAAACUGUAUUUGUGAAUCAGUCACUCUUAUUUAUGCAUGUACCAUUAUAAUAUAAGAUUACACGAGAAAACGGUGUUUUAGAUGAUACAUUUUAAUUAUCGAACUCCAUGAUUCAUUCGUUGGGGAACUUUGCUCAAUUUGACCCGAACAAAGUUCGAAGAAGGAAAGUUCAACCGGUUCAAUUUACACAGCAGACAGACGAAUAUUAAAUGCAAGUUCACGUUGGCGUUAAGUAUACUGAUAUCAAACGAUUUCGUAACAAAAAUGUUCUUUGUUUAACAUAAUAGCUAGUGAAACAUUUCAUAAAUAUGGUGUAUACGUAUAUGUUAUACUGUGAAGUUUCAACAAAUGAAGCAAUCUUUCUUAUAAACAAAAUAAAAUUUAAUUAUUAGGAUACGAUAAACGUAUUAAUUAUUAUUUAUAAUAAGAUGAUAUUACAAUAUAAUGUUGUAAUAAGAAGAUAUGAAAUGAAAUUUAUAAGUGUGAGUUUAUCGUCAAGUAAUGAUUCUCAAUAUAAUGAAUCCUUUGUUACAUCUUAUCAUCAACUUCAAAGUAUUCCUUAUCACGUUCAGUUGUUUCUUUCCCGGUAUGUAUGAAAGUCUAAUUUUGAUUCGUCGAUGGUUACAUAAACGAUGGAUUUUUUGAGCAAAGUAAUAAAUGAAGGGAAAAUAUGAAACAUGCUGAGUGCUAUACAUAAUAAUUAUUUAAUAGAAAUAUGAUUUACAUACAAAUGCAAUUUUAUACAGAAAUUAAAAAUUGAAAUUUGAAGUAUUGGUAUAUAAACUUUAAAAAUAUAAAAAGGGAUUUAAUUGGUUUAAUAGAUUAGAUAGAAAAUCUUAUUACGAUUUCGAUUCUGAUAUAUCAAAAUUAAUAAUUAAUUGAUUUGGAUAGUACUGGCUUUGAUUUUCGCAUACCGAUUAAAUAUGGAUUUAUACGUUUCUGUGAUAGAAUCACUUCUCUUUGAAGUAGCCUUCACUAAUAUCAAUAUAAUUAUAUAAAUAAAUAUAUAAGUACACUUUUAUUCUUCAUUACAAAUUUAUUUUAGUAAAUUGGUCGAAUUUUUUUAAAAGUUGUUCAAUUACCAUUUCAGUACGUAUCACUAAGCAUGUUUCAAUGUUAUCUACAACCUUCGUUGUAACGAAAACUUUGAUCUUCGUUUAAAAAAUGGAAGAUGACCUUCUUAUUUCGAAAAACACAGAUGAUAAAAGAAAUGACCUUCUUAUAAACCCUUCAACUAAAAAAGUUAUCGAAAUGAUUCCAGUUAUGUGCUUCACCCAAUACAAUCACUUUGGUAUCUCAACAGAAAUAAACAUAUAUUCUGAAAAAAGCCCUCUAACUCUUAACUGCCAAGGUCUAGAAGGUAGACUCUAUUCUGAUACUUUUUUUUAUAACCAGUAUUUCUUAAUAUAAUUUCAAAACGCUACUAAAAAAAGGCUUUCGGGUGAUUAACUAUAACUUCUACAAUUAUGAAUAUUUUUGAAUAAAAAAAUUGAAAAUUAUGUAAAUUUUGUCGAAGGUAUAUAUCUGAACUCUUUUCGAUCCUUUCAAGACUGAAACCAUGAAGUAUCACCGACAAUUCUUGCAAUUCUUUCGUUUUAUCAGUUCCGUUCGGUAUGAAGUCGAGUAAUUAUAACCGGUUUUUUUGAUCAAAACCGCAUCUCGUUUUUGCACGAAGCGGUUGACAUGCAAACACAUGUAAGAAAGUGUAUCGAAGUACAUUUGUGCCCGAUAAGAGGGUGCCCUAUCGACCAAUCGUAUUACUCUUUCCGGCGCACACCCUCUUCUUGAGCAAUAACAUGUCGACGUAUAACGUCGACAACGGUGUUCGUCACUGAGCAAUGACGAUUGCAAAUGAACGGUAAUUGAUCCGGAGUCAACAGUUUAAUUAAGAGUACUGUAGUUUUUUUUCUUUCGACCGUUAUCUCAUUAACGGCUACCAGAGCUAAUCAUUCGUUUUCAAUGCCGAUUCAAGUGAAUUGUAAGUGAAUCUUAAACGAUUGAAGAGUAACGAACUGUUGUGUGUUUUUUUUAAACUUUACAAAGUAAGACAAAUUAGAAUGAAAAGUUAUUUAAUUAGAAAGCUGGGCACCGUGCAUAAUAAUAGAGUAUCCUAUAAUUCCUCAUCCUUUCAUGACUGUACAUUGUACACUUUCCAGGUCGUCCUUUGGUCGGGCUUCCGCUCUACCCUAUACGUGGCUGCAGGGAGAAUGACGAUGAAGCUGGGACAGCCUCGUAUAUAUAGGAAUGUGGCCUCCCGCCACUUGCGUAUGAACGUUUACGCGGGAGAAUUCGAAUUCAUAUUUCUUAAUUAUAUAUUAAAUGUUAUAACAUUUAAUAAUUGAAAAUUGUUAUUUUUUUCUAAAUCACUUUUAAUAUGAAUAUCGUCAAAAUUACUGUUUGAAGAUUUUCUGCUUCCCUAUAAAAGAAGUAUAUGACAGCAAUGUAAUAAUUCUUCGCUGAAAUUGGAAUUCUUGAAUUUUAGUUUCGGUGAUAAGUAUUUAUGAAAAGGUUCACAGAAAACAGUAGACAGUGACUAAACAUCUAAAUUUUUUAAAAUACAAAAAACGCACAUAUUAAUUUUCUUAUUUUUAUUCUGAGUUAGUGUUAUCAAUUUAUAUAGGAAAAAAUCAUAAUACACGUAUUUUGCUGUCGUAAUAUUAUUAAAAUUUUUCUUUAGCUUGCAAAUCGUUCCCUGUUUACACGGCAUCAAAUCGAAUGCGUAGGAGUAAUCUAUUUUAAAAAUAUAAAAAUAAUUAGAAUAAAUAAAUUGUUGUCUGGAGAACCGGUUGUUCUCGCGUGCAAUAUAUUUAACAAACGACAAAAAUUAGCUUUCUAAUUGUACGAGCCACGACUAAAAGUAGAGCGAAUCAAUAAAUACAAAUUUUUCCGAGAUACUAAUCUACAUGUUUCCAAGGAUAGCGCUGUCGCUUUCAUUUUACUCUAUUAAUAUGCUUAUUCUUGUUUCCUGCCAUUCAAACAUGAGUUAACAAAAUUGGCAAUUACAUUAUUGUACUGAUAUAUUAUAUUAGUAUAAUAUAUUUUGUUAUUACUUUUAAGAUAUGCAUUUUUCUAUGUAAUAGCUAUAUUACUAAUAAUUUGUUGAUCAUUUCAAUGCAGAAGUGCGCAGUUCAAUUAAUCUUACGUCUCUGAAGACGUGGACAAGAUGCGUACGAAUAUAUUAAACAUCAGGUUUACGUAAUUCAUUAACUCAUCUUGAUCGCAAAUCAAACAAAGCAUUGGAUUCAUGUAGCCGCCUUUGAUAAUGCACGUGAACGUUUGAGUGACUUAUUAACUACGUGAAUGCAAUUGUCAAUAUGUUACAUGAUAUUAAAUUGCAACAUCCCCAUUAUCAAACGCACGAUGCAGUCGUUCAAAAAAUAUUUGAUAAGACACUAAUCGUAUAAUAGUUACUGUUAAUCUAAAUUCUAUAGGUACUAUAAAGCACAAUUUUAUAAUUAUUUUCAUUGUUACACCAGCUGAUCAAUUAAUAUUUCUAAUGAACAUUGCAACAACUGGUGUUGGAUGUACACUUACUACUAAAUAAAUGAACGAAGGAUGAAAAAUAAAUGAGCAAAUAUAAUCAUUUUUUUGUUUCUACAAAA